UUAGAGUUUGAUCCUGGCUCAGAGCGAACGCUGGCGGCAGGCUUAACACAUGCAAGUCGAGCGGGCCCUUCGGGGUCAGCGGCAGACGGGUGAGUAACGCGUGGGAACGUGCCCUUCGGUUCGGAAUAACCCUGGGAAACUAGGGCUAAUACCGGAUACGCCCCUUGGGGGAAAGGUUUACUGCCGAAGGAUCGGCCCGCGUCUGAUUAGCUAGUUGGUGAGGUAACGGCUCACCAAGGCGACGAUCAGUAGCUGGUCUGAGAGGAUGAUCAGCCACACUGGGACUGAGACACGGCCCAGACUCCUACGGGAGGCAGCAGAAGGG
This 325-nucleotide ribosomal RNA is filed under the name uncultured Methylobacterium sp. Its description in RNAcentral is "bacterial SSU rRNA". It matches the Rfam family "Bacterial small subunit ribosomal RNA", at positions 1 to 359 of the family's 1533-position model. Lineage: Bacteria; Pseudomonadati; Pseudomonadota; Alphaproteobacteria; Hyphomicrobiales; Methylobacteriaceae. The record is from RNAcentral.